This 149-nucleotide ribosomal RNA is filed under the name Thalassolituus sp. HI0120. RNAcentral's name for it is "partial 16S ribosomal RNA". It matches the Rfam family "Bacterial small subunit ribosomal RNA", at positions 1 to 143 of the family's 1533-position model. Lineage: Bacteria; Pseudomonadati; Pseudomonadota; Gammaproteobacteria; Oceanospirillales; Oceanospirillaceae. The record is from RNAcentral.
UUAAACUGAAGAGUUUGAUCAUGGCUCAGAUUGAACGCUGGCGGCAGGCUUAACACAUGCAAGUCGAGCGGAAACGAUGAUAGCUUGCUAUCAGGCGUCGAGCGGCGGACGGGUGAGUAACGCGUAGGAAUCUACCUAGUAGUGGGGGA